RNAcentral lists this long non-coding RNA (1666 nucleotides) under Phoenix dactylifera (date palm). RNAcentral describes it as "long non-coding RNA (PDAC_LNC011529)". Lineage: Eukaryota; Viridiplantae; Streptophyta; Magnoliopsida; Arecales; Arecaceae. The record is from RNAcentral.
GCUGGGAUCACGGCUUGAAAUCUGAAGGGAGGAGACGCGGAAGAAGCGGACGGGCACGGGAUCCUUUCUUCUCCCCUAUUUCCACACGGGAUGAAGCUAGAUCUGAUCUGGAAGAUGGACGGCCGUGAUGCACUGCGGGAGGAAGAAGAAGAUGGCUAGAUUGCGUUCGAAACGGGCACCGAAAUGGAAGGCGAUCAGGGAUGUGGUAGGGACGCGGUUGGAACGUGCUGAAGACGCGGGGACGGCGCUGGCAGCGAUGCGGACGAACGCCUGAUGCGGAAGGCUGGCUGAGAUGUGCCGGCUGGUUGCUUGCAUGGCACGGGAGAGCUAGCUCGGUGGGGACGCGGGCUGGACGUUGAGACGUGCUGAAAAGCUGGCUAGCAUGCUGGGAUGAGCAGAGCUCAAACCCAAUGUUAUUUGGUCUCUUGGAUUACUUACACUCAAACAUAAAUACAAUGUUAAUUAGUUAAUUUUAUCAUUAAUGAUUAGCUAUAAUACUAAUUAAGAUGGUACGACGAUUGCACUUUUAUACUCUCAUCACACCCUCCAACUAGCUUAUUGCUAGUCUCUAGCAAUUUAGUGCGAAAAUGAUAAAAUGAGAGUGCAAAAGUUUUAUUUUUAUUUUUAGUAUUAAUUAUUUUAUAUAUAUAUAUGAAUUAAAAUAAAUACUCACUUUCGUAGAGCAUUACGAUUGAACUUAGCGCGUGCAACAAGCCUUUAAACCCCUAGGUUACCCUAGUGGACGAGUGUUGUCUCGUGAGGGUUUGCAGUGAAGUUACCCACAAACUUCAAUCCCAAAAUAAAAUUUAUUUUAUGAAAUAAAAGUCUAAUUUCAAGUACAUAAAUGAUAAGAAUUUCAAAAACACACAAGGUUUUAAUUACUAAGUAGCCCAAAUUCUAGGUUAGUAUGCAAUUUAAGUUGAAGUCAUUAAGUUUUCCAUUAGAAAGUUGUAAGACUUAUUUAUACUUGAGUGCUCAGUGAAGUCUGGACCAUGCACAAGCUAAGGUUUUGGAUCUCCAAAAUAUCGCUAAUGUUAGUAGUUUCCAAGAAUUGGUCGGACAAGACCUAUUUGCUGAUUCAAAAUCAUCUUAUCUGCAGGAUUUCGAGAGCUGUGGAUGUUUACUUUAAUACCGCAUGGGCUUUCACACUAUGUAUAUAUUGUGCACUUUUACUCCUGUGAUGAUUCCUCCAUGUAGCGAGCAAUUAGUCGUCAAUUCUCACACCAGUUAGCAUGAGGUGUUGGGCAUCAAGACUAUGCUCGGGUUCCUCAUCACAAGCCCGCUGACCUUUGACAAUAGGUAGCCCUUUUCGAUGUACCUGACUAAAUCCACCAUUUUAUUUUUUAUUUUUUAUUUUUUUCUCUUUUUUUGUGAAUCAGAAAAAGAUGGUUCAUCAAGAUUCGAGGUUGCUACCAUAUUCUCAACACAAUGUCGAACCUAUACCAUAGAAAUGCAGGUCAGAUGUGUUGUGAAAUUCAAAGCACUAAUUAGCUUACAACUCACUAAAAGGAACUUAAUAAAAAGAACUUACUUUGCACUACUUCUGACUAGUCAUUAGGCUCUUAGAUUUUAUAUACCUUAUGUGUUGUACAGAAAUAAUAUUUUUUAUUUAUUUUAGAUUUUUUUAUUUAUUUUAAAUGCUUAAAAACACCCCCAAACCUAAAUC